CCUACGGGAGGCAGCAGUGAGGAAUAUUGGUCAAUGGGCGCUAGCCUGAACCAGCCAAGUAGCGUGAAGGAUGACUGCCCUAUGGGUUGUAAACUUCUUUUAUAUGGGAAUAAAGUGCAGUAUGUAUACUGCUUUGCAUGUACCUUAUGAAUAAGGAUCGGCUAACUCCGUGCCAGCAGCCGCGGUAAUACGGAGGAUCCGAGCGUUAUCCGGCUUUAUUGGGUUUAAAGGGAGCGUAGGCGGGUUGUUAAGUCAGUUGUGAAAGUUUGUGGCUCAACCGUAAAAUUGCAGUUGAUACUGGCAGCCUUGAGUACAGUAGAGGUAGGCGGAAUUCGUGGUGUAGCGGUGAAAUGCUUAGAUAUCACGAAGAACUCCGAUUGCGAAGGCAGCCUGCUGGACUGUAACUGACGCUGAUGCUCGAAAGUGUGGGUAUCAAACAGGAUUAGAUACCCCUGUAGUC
This 460-nucleotide ribosomal RNA is filed under the name uncultured bacterium. RNAcentral's name for it is "partial 16S ribosomal RNA". It matches the Rfam family "Bacterial small subunit ribosomal RNA", at positions 338 to 795 of the family's 1533-position model. The record is from RNAcentral.